GAGUUUGAUCCUGGCUCACGACGAACGCUGGCGGCGUGCCUAAUACAUGCAAGUCGAGCGAGCUUGCCUAGAUGAUUUUAGUGCUUGCACUAAAUGAAACUAGAUACAAGCGAGCGGCGGACGGGUGAGUAACACGUGGGUAACCUGCCCAAGAGACUGGGAUAACACCUGGAAACAGAUGCUAAUACCGGAUAACAACACUAGACGCAUGUCUAGAGUUUGAAAGAUGGUUCUGCUAUCACUCUUGGAUGGACCUGCGGUGCAUUAGCUAGUUGGUAAGGUAACGGCUUACCAAGGCAAUGAUGCAUAGCCGAGUUGAGAGACUGAUCGGCCACAUUGGGACUGAGACACGGCCCAAACUCCUACGGGAGGCAGCAGUAGGGAAUCUUCCACAAUGGACGAAAGUCUGAUGGAGCAACGCCGCGUGAGUGAAGAAGGGUUUCGGCUCGUAAAGCUCUGUUGGUAGUGAAGAAAGAUAGAGGUAGUAACUGGCCUUUAUUUGACGGUAAUUA
This 512-nucleotide ribosomal RNA is filed under the name uncultured bacterium. Its description in RNAcentral is "bacterial SSU rRNA". It matches the Rfam family "Bacterial small subunit ribosomal RNA", at positions 9 to 481 of the family's 1533-position model. The record is from RNAcentral.